RNAcentral lists this ribosomal RNA (253 nucleotides) under uncultured bacterium. RNAcentral describes it as "partial 16S ribosomal RNA". It matches the Rfam family "Bacterial small subunit ribosomal RNA", at positions 524 to 776 of the family's 1533-position model. The record is from RNAcentral.
UACGGAGGGGGCUAGCGUUGUUCGGAAUUACUGGGCGUAAAGCGCACGUAGGCGGCUUUGUAAGUUAGGGGUGAAAGCCCGGAGCUCAACUCCGGAAUUGCCUUUAAGACUGCAUCGCUUGAAUCAUGGAGAGGUGAGUGGAAUUCCGAGUGUAGAGGUGAAAUUCGUAGAUAUUCGCAAGAACACCAGUGGCGAAGGCGGCUCACUGGCCCGGUACUGACGCUGAGGUGCGAAAGCGUGGGGAGCAAACAGG